GAUGAACGCUAGCGGCAGGCUUAAUACAUGCAAGUCGAACGGCAGCACUUCGGGUGGCGAGUGGCGCACGGGUGAGUAACGCGUACAAAAUCUACCUCUAACUGGGGGAAAGUCGCUGGAAACGGCGAAUAAUCCCGCAUAAGACCCCACUACCGCAUGGUAGAGUGGUAAAAGACUUCGGUUGGUAAGAGGUGAUUGUG
This 200-nucleotide ribosomal RNA is filed under the name uncultured bacterium. RNAcentral describes it as "partial 16S ribosomal RNA". It matches the Rfam family "Bacterial small subunit ribosomal RNA", at positions 28 to 233 of the family's 1533-position model. The record is from RNAcentral.